Mustela erminea (ermine) is the source of this 569-nucleotide long non-coding RNA. RefSeq lists it as uncharacterized. The transcript is spliced from 6 exons. Lineage: Eukaryota; Metazoa; Chordata; Mammalia; Carnivora; Mustelidae. The record is from RefSeq and is a predicted model, not a curated record.
CUGACUUCAUCGGACUUUGCUGCACUGUCACUGGGAUUCCGGAGAGCUGUAGAUAAAUACCUUGUGAACUCUGAGAGAGACGUUGCUUUCUACUGGGAGAUACAUAAGAAUAUUAUUUGAUACAGCAAGUAGCAUUCGGACCUUAAAGGUGAGGAAAAGGAAGCCCAGAAAAGGGAAGCAGAGGAGGUGGUUAGUUUCAAAGCCUGGAAUGGAACUCAGGACUUCCACCAACGUCAUGGUGCCCACAUGCCCCUGGAUCUAAGAGUGUGAGUUGGAAGCAUGUGAGUACAGUCACCCUCCAAUCAACCAAGGUCUAGAAGCAGAUGGUUCUCAGACAUCAGAUUUUCUGACGAUCUAUCAGAAGGUCAGUAUGCGCUGAGUGAGAACUUACAAGAAGAUGGCCUUGGACAUGUGGAUGUGGACAGGAAAUGAAACAGUUAUCGGAGGUCAGCCUCUCUGGGGAAGCAGAUGAGCCUCCUUCUAAUGAACCGUCAAGGGUCCCUAGCAGCCUAUGCCGUGCACCUCACUACGUUUCACCACGUAGGCGUUGAUCAUCUCACAUCAUUGCA